This 214-nucleotide long non-coding RNA is filed under the name Homo sapiens (human). RNAcentral's name for it is "HSALNT0349501". Lineage: Eukaryota; Metazoa; Chordata; Mammalia; Primates; Hominidae. The record is from RNAcentral.
CGUGCCCCUAUCAUAAAUGGAAAACAGAUAUCUUCCCUGUUCUUAGUAACUGCAGUAGUGUCUCUGAGGAGAGGAGAUCUGGAUACAGAUACACACAGAGAGAAGAUGAUAAGGAGACCCAGGAGGAAGGCGGCCAUCUACAAGCCAAGGAGAGAGAAUGCAGAAGAAACCAAUCCUGUCAACACCUUCAACCUAGCCUCCAGCAUUGUGCAGG